RNAcentral lists this ribosomal RNA (901 nucleotides) under uncultured archaeon. Its description in RNAcentral is "bacterial SSU rRNA". It matches the Rfam family "Archaeal small subunit ribosomal RNA", at positions 25 to 903 of the family's 1478-position model. The record is from RNAcentral.
UACUGCUAUCGGGGUGGGACUAAGACAUGCUAGUCGAGCGCCUUGAGCUAUGGCGAGGCGCGGCGUACAGCUCAGUAACACGUGGCUAACCUACCCUUAGGACGGAGACAACCCCGGGAAACUGGGGCUAAUAUCUGAUAGGUGAGGAGGCUUGGAAUGGUUCUUCGCUGAAAAGGCGUUGAAACCAUGCUUUUCAGCGUCGCCUAAGGAUGGGGCCGCGUCCGAUCAGGUUGUUGGUGGGGUAACGGCUCACCAAGCCUAUAACCGGUACGGGCCGUGAGAGCGGGAGCCCGGAGAUGGGCACUGAGACAAGGGCCCAGGCCCUACGGGGCGCAGCAGUCGCGAAAACUCCGCAAUGCGCGAAAGCGUGACGGGGCUACCCCGAGUGCCGUCCGCUGAGGAUGGCUUUUCCCCGGUGUAAUGAGCCGGGGGAAUAAGGAGAGGGCAAGUCUGGUGUCAGCCGCCGCGGUAAUACCAGCUCUCCGAGUGGUAGGGACGAUUAUUGGGCUUAAAGCGUCCGUAGCCGGCUUAGCAAGUCUUCUGUUAAAUUCAGCGACCUAAUCGUUGAGCCGCGGGAGAUACUACUAGGCUAGGAGGCGGGAGAGGCCGACGGUAUUCUCGGGGUAGGGGUGAAAUCCUAUAAUCCCGGGAGGACCACCAGUGGCGAAGGCUGUCGGCUAGAACGCGCUCGACGGUGAGGGACGAAAGCUGGGGGAGCGAACCGGAUUAGAUACCCGGGUAGUCCCAGCUGUAAACGAUGCGGGCUAGGUGUUGGGGUGGCUACGAGCCACUUCAGUGCCGCAGGGAAGCCAUUAAGCCCGCCGCCUGGGGAGUACGGCCGCAAGGCUGAAACUUAAAGGAAUUGGCGGGGGAGCACCACAAGGCGUGAAGCNUGCGGUUC